GGGUGAUCUGCCCUGCACUUCGGGAUAAGCCUGGGAAACUGGGUCUAAUACCGGAUAUGACCUCCUAUCGCAUGGUGGGUGGUGGAAAGAUUUAUCGGUGCAGGAUGGGCCCGCGGCCUAUCAGCUUGUUGGUGGGGUAAUGGCCUACCAAGGCGACGACGGGUAGCCGACCUGAGAGGGUGACCGGCCACACUGGGACUGAGACACGGCCCAGACUCCUACGGGAGGCAGCAGUGGGGAAUAUUGCACAAUGGGCGAAAGCCUGAUGCAGCGACGCCGCGUGAGGGAUGACGGCCUUCGGGUUGUAAACCUCUUUCAGCAGGGACGAAGCGCAAGUGACGGUACCUGCAGAAGAAGCACCGGCUAACUACGUGCCAGCAGCCGCGGUAAUACGUAGGGUGCAAGCGUUGUCCGGAAUUACUGGGCGUAAAGAGUUCGUAGGCGGUUUGUCGCGUCGUUUGUGAAAACCAGCAGCUCAACUGCUGGCUUGCAGGCGAUACGGGCAGACUUGAGUACUGCAGGGGAGACUGGAAUUCCUGGUGUAGCGGUGAAAUGCGCAGAUAUCAGGAGGAACACCGGUGGCGAAGGCGGGUCUCUGGGCAGUAACUGACGCUGAGGAACGAAAGCGUGGGUAGCGAACAGGAUUAGAUACCCUGGUAGUCCACGCCGUAAACGGUGGGCGCUAGGUGUGGGUUCCUUCCACGG
This 705-nucleotide ribosomal RNA is filed under the name Rhodococcus erythropolis. Its description in RNAcentral is "bacterial SSU rRNA". It matches the Rfam family "Bacterial small subunit ribosomal RNA", at positions 119 to 837 of the family's 1533-position model. The record is from RNAcentral. Lineage: Bacteria; Bacillati; Actinomycetota; Actinomycetes; Mycobacteriales; Nocardiaceae.